Molecule: ribosomal RNA, 500 nt
Filed under: uncultured eukaryote
Lineage: Eukaryota
Description: SSU rRNA
Rfam family: Eukaryotic small subunit ribosomal RNA
Source: RNAcentral
GCUGUUCAGAUAGCCAUGCAUGUCUAAGUAUAAGUAUUAUACAGCGAAACUGCGAAUGGCUCAUUAAAACAGUUAUAGUUUAUUUGAUAAUCGAAUUUACAUGGAUAACCGUGGUAAUUCUAGAGCUAAUACAUGCUGGUGUGCCCGACUUUUGUGGAAGGGCGGUAUUUAUUAGAUAACAAGCCAAUAUUCCUCUGGUCUAUUGUGGUGACUCAUAAUAACUGAUCGAAUCGCAAGGCCUAUGGCCGCGGUAAGUCAUUCAAGUUUCUGCCCCAUCAGCUUUCGAUGGUAGUGUAUUGGACUACCAUGGCGUUUACGGGUAACGGAGGAUUAGGGUUCGAUUCCGGAGAGGGAGCCUGAGAAACGGCUACCACAUCUAAGGAAGGCAGCAGGCGCGUAAAUUACCCAAUCCUGACUCAGGGAGGUAGUGACAAGAAAUAACGGACCGGGGCCUUACGGCUUCGGGAUUGCAAUGAGCCGAAUUUACACCCCUUAGCGAA